UCGUGAUAGGUAGCCCACACACCGCCAGC
Molecule: non-coding RNA, 29 nt
Filed under: Homo sapiens (human)
Lineage: Eukaryota; Metazoa; Chordata; Mammalia; Primates; Hominidae
Source: RNAcentral